Molecule: long non-coding RNA, 2067 nt
Organism: Aethalodelphis obliquidens (Pacific white-sided dolphin)
Lineage: Eukaryota; Metazoa; Chordata; Mammalia; Artiodactyla; Delphinidae
Exons: 3
Source: RefSeq, a predicted model, not a curated record
CUUGUCUGGGAAACUCUUUAGCUCUCCUUCAAUUCUGAAUGAUAAUUUUGCUGAGUAGAGUGUCCUUGAUCAUAGGUUUUUUUUUUUUUUCCUUUCAGCACUUUAAAUAUAUCAUGCCACUCCCUUCUGGCCUGCAGUAUUUCUACUGAGAAAUCAGCUGAUAGCCUGAUGUGGUUUUCCUGGUAUGUGACUCAUUGUUUUUCUCUUGCUGCCUUUAGAAUUCUCUAUUUUUAACUUUUGCCAUUUUAAUUAUGAUAUGUCUGGUUGUGGGCCUCUUUGGUUUCAUCUUGUUUGAGACUCUCUGUGAUUCCUGCACCUGGAUAUCUUUUGCCUUCUCAGAUUUGGGAACUUUUCUGCCAUAAUUUCAUCCAAUAUAUUUUCUGCCUCUUUCUCUCUUUUCUUCUCUUUCUAGGACCCCUAUAAUGCAAGUGUUAGUGCACUUGAUGCUACCCUAGAGGUCCCUUAAACUGUUCUUAUGAAAAAUAAUUUAUUCUUUAUUGCUGCUCUGAUUGAGUGAUUUCCACUAUUCUGACUUCCAGGUUGUGAGAACGUUCUUCUGUGUCACCUAACCUGUUGUUAAUUCCUUCUGGUGUAUUUUGUAUUUCAGUCACUGUAUCCUUCAGCUCUGAUUGGAUCUUUUUAAUAUUUUCUAGUUCUUUGAGGUUCUCAUUGUGUUCCUCUACUAUCUUCCCACAUUCAGUGAGCAUUUUUAUUACUAUUGCUUUGAGUCUUUUAUCAGGUAAAUUAUUUAUCUUGCUUUAGAUAGGUUUUUUUUCCCUGAGGUUUUAUCUUGUUAUUUCAUUUGGAACAUGUGUGUUUUUCAUCUAAUUUGUUCGGUCUUUUCUGUUUGUCUCUAUGACAUUAGGCAAACAGUUACCUAUUCCAGAGUCUAAACGUGUGUCCUUGUGUGGGAGCAUCUCUAUGUGGUCUGCCUGUGACCAGUGGCAUUGGUGGGAGAGCUGGAUCUAAAGUGAGCACAGCCCAUGUCUUCUCCCUAGAGUGCAUUCUGAGCAAGUCCAUGUGCUGGGAGCUAUGCUGUUGACCUGAGUCCACAAAUAUGAUCCUGAUAUCCUCCUGCAGUAAUUGAACAUGGAAUUCUAUGUUUGUGAAUUAAGUCAAAGUCGAAGAGGUAGGGGCUCCCCAGGGGGUGGACUCCUGAUGGACAAGGGCAACACUGAGGUAAGUCUUAAAUCAAGAAACCAGAGACAUCCACACAAUCUUAUCUGGAUGUAUCCUGCUAAGCACACAGCAGUCACUUACUGGAGAGCCAGUUAAGUUCAUGAUCUAAUUCUAAUUCAGUUUGGUGAGAUUACAAGGAUGAGGAAAUGGAGUUAUAAUAGGGAAAAAGGUCCAAUGAAGAGAUAAAUUUGGAAGAAAUGGAUGAUGUCUUGGGAAAGAAAUGCACGUUAGGGAGAAAAGCCACCAGACAUUUAGGGGAGGGGGUGGAAGCAUGCCCCACUGUGCCUUCGCAGCACCGACGCACAUUGGCCUUUAUGGGCUCCUCCUCCAUACAAAUAUUAACAUAUUUUACAAUUGUGUUAGGAUAAAAAUGAAUGUAUCCAGGCUGGAUUCACUGUUACAUAGUCAUUACUAAUACAAAUCAUUUUCCCCUGAUUUAAAAAAAAAAUAAAGGUGAAACAUUUUCCUACGUCCCUAAAAGAAUAGUGGGCUGUAGGCACUGUGCCUUCUGUAUCUAAUGGGUACGUCAGCCCUGAGAGGAAGUACACCAGGCACAGAGAUGAGGGGUAUAAGGUAGUGAAUUCACCACAAUGUGAACUUUGGUGAUUUUACUUAUGAGUUGUCCUGGGCCCUUCUCACAUUUCUGUUAGAUCAGAGAUGGAGCCCUGGAAGAAACCUCUGGUCUGAGGUCUACAGGAAGCCCUGGUUUACUCCUACACUGGAAAUCAGGCCUGCCUUCCUGGUUAGGGAAGCUCAGUUUCUCUGCUGACCUACAUGCUACAGAAAACAAUGUGUGUGGACCUCCCUCCCACCCCACCCCGCCAUCUCACCCAUCUAGGUCAUCACAGAGUACCGAACUGAGCUCCCUGUGCUAUACAGCAGGUUCCC